Molecule: long non-coding RNA, 2468 nt
Organism: Heterocephalus glaber (naked mole-rat)
Lineage: Eukaryota; Metazoa; Chordata; Mammalia; Rodentia; Bathyergidae
Source: RefSeq, a predicted model, not a curated record
UAUGCUGAAUUCGUCUUGAUUUGCUUGGUUUUAACACUUGGGAGUAGCAUGUCCAAACGUUAUAGUCAAAAUACAACUAUAUCAUUACUUUUGGACCUUGGGCUCUGGGUCUUCAUACUUUUCUAGCAAACACUUUUGUUCUAAUCUGAGUUGUACCUGUCAAGAAAGUCCCCACUAAUAGCACAAUGAGAGUAACUGCCACCAUUCUGUUCACCAGGUCCCUAGUUCUGGAAACCAAGGAAACAGAACGAAAGACUUCUCUGGUGUGGUGUCAACAAUAGCGACAGACACAACAGCAGCCCCACAGCUACCUCUCUGUUACUGCUUACUCCACUCUGGGACAGAUCUUCCUCUGCUCCUCGUGGCUGUAUCACAGGAGCUCUGAGAGAGGCAACCAGAGCACCACAACAAAUUUUCAUCAGUGUGUGGAACCUCUAAACCUCCCAGACUGAAGUGCUUACCAUGAGCUGUCAAAAACCUGGUUCUCUUUUGCAGCCAGAAGAGUGAUUUGACCACAUCAGACAAAGCUUUCUUUAUACUGAGGAACAGAAAAAAAUUUUUUGAUGGAACUGAGACAAAAUUUGAUGAAAUUUCAUUGUUAAACUCCAGUGUUCACCGAUCCUGAGUUAACUCCUGGAGCUCUGAGUUUUGUUUUGUUUUGUUUUUGGUACCGGAGAUCGAACUCAGAUCCUUGCGCUUGCGAGGCAGGCGGUGGAACCAGAGCUAAACCCCCAGCCAGCUCUGAGUUUUUACACUGCACCCGGCUACCUGCAGCCACUGGUGUGAGCAGCACUUACCUUCUGGAAGUCAUAGCAGCUUACUGCUCCUCAAAUUACUAUUUCCAAACUCGAGUCAAACCAGAAACAAAUUCAAGAAUUAAAGAGAGCCUCAGAAGAGGAAUGUAAGAUCAAAAGUAGUUCCCACUAUCACAAAAAUAAAAAUAGGCCAAGACACCACUGUCUCUUGGAAUCUUUAUUAGUCUGAGAAGGCACUCUCAGGUCUCAUCUGACCACCUUAUUUACCAGAGCCAAAGAGAACUGCAGCAAACAGGACAGAAUCAGAUCUGAUCCAAUCUCCUCCAAGCAGGCACAGUGAUCUUCCUGAAGUCACAUCUCAUCUUGUCACCUGUUUAAUACCUUCAAUGCUGCCACUACCCUAAGAGUAAGAUCCAACUCCUCUCUGACUCCACCUGUCACUCUCAGUGCCUCAAAACCACCUCUCAGCCCUCCAGGUACUCUCUCUUCACAAAAAGGCUGAGCUCCGGGAAGCUGCCCUCCAGAGAGAGAGGAGAAAGGGCAACAGUGGGGUGGAGAAGGCAGGAUCCCAGAGCUUUAGCUCUGCACCAGGAACAUCCCUGUAGUCUCCAGGCAAAACUGCACUGAAUCCUACAAUAUGAGCCCCCGUGAGAAUGCCAGGCUGAGCCCAGGAAAGCCAUUCAGGCUCACCCAGAGGCGGCAGAAGCUCCAGCUCUCAGAGCAGAUCCUUCUCAGGGACACAGUGUAAAGUCACAGCCAUCUCCAAAUGCCACCAGGACAGUGCUGUGUGGGCUCCAUCUGCACAGUCAGAGUAGAGGGUUAUAGCAACCCUGGUAAUAACUGCAUCUGAACGACUCCCAGAGUCUCCUCAGGAGCAAGACCACCAGUGCUCAGAAUGCUGAGUUUGACAGAGGUGAGACUUGAAAACAACGGCUGGGAUUGCUAUUCAAUGGAAGACCCCAGCAUAAACAACAGCUCCAUUGGUAAGACAGGCCACUGAGACACAGGUGACAGAUAACUGUCACUGCCCUGUGGAGCUGCUGAGUCCCGAUGUCAGCCCUUAUUCCCCUGGACACGUGGCCUUUCAGAGAACACACAAGCUAUGGAGAAAGGUCAUGCAGAGCUGCCACUGCCAGUCCCAGAGGAGCCCUACCUUCCCCUGCUAACCAUAAAUGGCCCUGAGAGAGCAAAAGCAGAGUAUACAGAAAUGAUGAUAUUCAAACAGUGCCCAACAUCUUCUUGGUGGUGGUUUGAAAAAAUGAGUAAGGGCAGGAGAAAAAAAGCAAACAUAACCAUGAGUUUCAGCCCUCUGCUAAGUGAUGUGCUCACCUGAGCAGAAGAAAGCAGCAGGCACCUGAGCAACUGUGCAGGGCUGAAGCAGAUGACCCAGCCUUCGGAGCAUCUGCAGGCAGCCAGUGGCACCAUGGUUAGCUGCCAACUCUGGAGCAGGGGUGGGUGCUGGGGACCUGCCCCACCCUCAGACUUGUGACCUUGGGCAACUCACUUUCUCCUUUUGGGUUUUGGUCUCUGGACAAUAAAAUAAGGAUAAGAACAAUGCAAAGCUCACAAGACUCCUAUGAGGUUUAAAUAAAUUAGUGCCUCAGAAGGGCCUUGGCAUGUAUGAGGUAGUCCUUAAAUGCUGGCUGUUGUUAUCCCAUUAAACAGGAGAAGCACGCACCGCCCCUGGCUCUGUAGGACCUCUCUUGGGCCCGA